This is a long non-coding RNA of Diabrotica virgifera virgifera (western corn rootworm), 379 nucleotides long. RefSeq lists it as uncharacterized. Lineage: Eukaryota; Metazoa; Arthropoda; Insecta; Coleoptera; Chrysomelidae. The record is from RefSeq and is a predicted model, not a curated record. The transcript has 2 exons.
GUUGACUUAAAGGGUCGUUUAAACACAGCGACAAAUCAAACAACUUAUCAAGGUCAAUCGAGUUGUUGCAACUUAUCAUUGUGUGUAAACGGUGCAUCGCACAACUUAUCAAAGUUGGAGUUGGGUUGAAGGUGGUAUCGCAUUGAAUCGCAGCGUCUAAACAGCGUUUCAACUUGUCAUCACAACUAGUUGCUGUGACUUAUCGUUGUGUUUAAACGACGCUUAAGGAUCGUUUAAACACAGCGAUAAAUCAAACAACUUAUCAAGGUCAAUCGAGUUGUUGCAACUUAUCAUUGUGUGUAAACGGUGCAUCGCACGACUUAUCAAAGUUGGAGUUGGGUUGAGGUUGGUAUCGGAUUGCAUCAACUUAUCACAAGGA